CUGCCAGACUCCUACGGGAGGCAGCAGUGAGGAAUAUUGGUCAAUGGGCGCGAGCCUGAACCAGCCAAGUCGCGUGAGGGAAGACGGUCCUAUGGAUUGUAAACCUCUUUUGUCGGGGAGCAAAAGACGCCACGCGUGGCGUUCCGAGAGUACCCGAAGAAAAAGCAUCGGCUAACUCCGUGCCAGCAGCCGCGGUAAUACGGAGGAUGCGAGCGUUAUCCGGAUUUAUUGGGUUUAAAGGGUGCGUAGGCGGAGUGUCAAGUCAGCGGUAAAAUUUCGGGGCUCAACCCCGUCGUGCCGUUGAAACUGACACCCUUGAGUGAGUGAGAAGUAAGCGGAAUGCGUGGUGUAGCGGUGAAAUGCAUAGAUAUCACGCAGAACUCCGAUUGCGAAGGCAGCAUACCGGCGCUCAACUGACGCUCAUGCACGAAAGUGUGGGUAUCGAACAGGAUUAGAUACCCCGGUAAG
RNAcentral lists this ribosomal RNA (468 nucleotides) under uncultured bacterium. RNAcentral's name for it is "bacterial SSU rRNA". It matches the Rfam family "Bacterial small subunit ribosomal RNA", at positions 328 to 794 of the family's 1533-position model. The record is from RNAcentral.